GUGAAGCGACAAAAUGUUUGGUAAUGUAUUAGUGAAUACUUUCUGUGUGCAUCACUUAUGCAGAGGCCAGGGUCAUCCCCUUUCUGAAGAAAAUGUAUUAGUGAACACUGUACAUAUUUGCUCGGUUAUCAUGUCUUGCUGUUCGUGGCCAUUACACUGCACACCAUCAGGCAAAAUAAGGCAACGAAGGCAUACAAGUAUAUUGCAAGGUCAAUGCUAUAUGUGUAUGUAUGUAUGGAUGGAUAGGUGCUACUGAAGUGAGAUUCCGAGAAAAUCUGCAUACAAGUAAUAUCGCAAGAUAAAAUGCAUGUUUCUCAGGAGACAAAGACUGCAGUUAAUUCCGAAGGAGAAUAGCAACCUUUGCUUCUGCUAGGUUCAAUGAGCAUAUGGUAAAGGAAGGUAUCAGUGGAUUCACCAACGUAGAUUACAAGAGUAAAGGUUUAUCUAAUGAGGCCUUGUCGCGGCGCUGCAAGUGUUGCCCCCUCCUCCCCAAGGGCAAGGUGAAGGAAGGUGCCUGUGUGGUUCUUCUGCAGCUCGCAGCGAGGAUUGCUGUGUCCAACCUGCACAAAAAUGCCAAGAAGUCUUUCUCGGAGAUGAUUAAGGACAUGUACCUGCACUACAAUGAGAGAUAUGGGCUUCUUUGUGGCUUCCAAACUUGAAAUGUUUGUUUGGAAGUUAGGUUAGUUUUUUGUUGUUGAUUCACAGCUUCUCACAUAUACUGUCCUCUUAAACCUUUAGAUUUCCAAAGAAACUAAAUGAAGAUACGGUGGUAUGGUCUCAGUAGUACAACUUAAAGCCUUCUCUUUAUAUUUUCUCUGAAAUUUGCUCUUGAAGAAUCAUGUAUCUAUGUUAGAUCCGGUGAGAAAAGGCGGCUUCCAAGUAGAGGAUGCGGGAGUGUUGGCCACAUUUGGUUUUCGAUUUGGGUGUCUAACUAUUCUCACAAUACUUGGCUCUCCCUCGGCCUUUGCGCCAUUGGCGCAACGAGUCAUCUAGUUGAACAUAUAAAGGAUGAGGGAAUGCGGCCAACUAGCGGCUGUGGCCACGUCUCCUUUUUUUCGCGGGUUACUGUAGCAGCGCUUGGAGAGAUGAGUCCCGAGCGCCCCCAUCUUCCCUCCUCUCUCUUUUCCACUUUCCCCUCGCCUCCGCCUCCGCCAUCGCCUCCUCCCCUCUCCUCCCUCUCUCCCGUCUCCUCCCUCUCAACCCUAGCCGUCACCACCCAGUACCCACCCUCUACUGCUCCACCGCGCACCCACCUCCCCUUAGAUCAGGUGCAGGCCGGCCGGUGCGCGCAGGCGGCGGCGCUCCACUCGAGGGCAAAGGGAGGCAACGGCGGCGGUGACCGCCGUGGACACCCGCGGCUAUGACGAACCCCGCUGCUAGGAGGCCACCAUGGAGGCCCGUCCCGAGCUCGGCUCGCCGCUCCUCCGGUGACCCUCGUUGUGCCUGGAUCCGGGUCGGGCGGAUCCGACGAUUCCCCGAUGCGCAGACGGGCCGGCACGCGGCCCUAGGCGGAGGAGCCCUCCCAUGGCGUCGACGGCUCUGGAGAUGAGGGCUGCACAGAGGAAGAGGAGCACCAGCAGCUCGAGGUGGAAACUUGGAACAGCCAACAAAACACUCCUUCACCCUUGCCAUGACUUAGAAUAUGAAGUGAUGUUGGUGGGUUGGAUCAUGAGGGUUGAGAAUGGAGAAUAGUUUAAGAACAGUAGAUCCUGAACUUUUCACUAUCUGAAUAUGAGAGAAAUUCACCCUCUGCAUUAGUUGCAAAAGAUGCUGAUUUUGAUCAUAACAAUUAUAGUUGUUCAAGCAGUAGCAGAUUUGGCAACCUCACAGUCAUCUCAUUCAGAAUUCACGUCCUAUCCUCAACGGAGCUUAAGAUGCUGAUUUUGAUCAUAACAAUUAUAGUUGUUCAAGCAGUAGCAGAUUUGGCAACCUCACAGUCAUCUCAUUCAGAAUUCGCGUCCUAUCCUUAACGGUUAGCUUAUUAACGCGUUGUGGGCACUUCAUUUGGCAUCGUCUUUCAGGCUAAAUUCUUGGAAACUGGGGAGACGGUGGCCAUUAAGAAGGUACUGCAGGACCGACGGUCCAAGAACCGGGAGCUGCAGCUUAUGCAUUUGAUUAACCAUUCCAAUGUUGUUCUCCCUCAAGCACUGCUUCUUCUCAACCACAAGUAGAGAUGAGCUGUUUCUGAACCUUGUCAUGGAGUAUGUCCUGGAGACACUCUACCGUAUGCUUAAGAACUACAGUAAUGCCAAACAGGGGAUGCCACUUAUC
Molecule: long non-coding RNA, 2271 nt
Organism: Triticum dicoccoides
Lineage: Eukaryota; Viridiplantae; Streptophyta; Magnoliopsida; Poales; Poaceae
Exons: 10
Source: RefSeq, a predicted model, not a curated record